This is a non-coding RNA of Bos taurus (domestic cattle), 73 nucleotides long. The record is from Rfam. NCBI's taxonomy places the organism in Eukaryota, Metazoa, Chordata, Mammalia, Artiodactyla, Bovidae.
UCCCUGGUAGUCUAGUGGUUAAAACUCAGUGCUUCCACUACAGGGGAUGCAGGUUCGAUCCCUGGUCAGGGAA